Molecule: non-coding RNA, 99 nt
Filed under: Couchioplanes caeruleus
Lineage: Bacteria; Bacillati; Actinomycetota; Actinomycetes; Micromonosporales; Micromonosporaceae
Source: RNAcentral
GAGAGCCGGAUGCGUUGAGAGGCGCACGUCCGGUUCGGCGAGAGGUCCAGGGAAACGGACCGGGAGCAAUCCCGACACCGCGCCCUGGACCUACUCAGC